CUUACAAUACUUUUUUUCCUCUUCUCAUUCACUUAAAACGAAAAUGGAUGUCAAGUGAGUUUGCAAUUUUUUUUGUUUCCUACAAUAUUUGAUUGAGAAAUAAUCGCAGAAAACCUCGCGCAUAAAAAGGAGAUCAUUUACUUAAAAGGCGAGAUAGCCAGAUUGAAAGAAGUGGCAAAGCUUUGUAAGAAUGAUUACCAUAAUCGGAUGCGCACCGUUACAUCGCUAUUGUACGCAGAGGUGCCGCCGGCGGUUGUGUCUCCCAUACAAACGCUUCCUCCAAUACACUCAACCAUGCAAACGAUCAAUCCAACAGACUCGCCGUUGCAAGCGUCAACCCCAAUACACUCGCCCUUGCAAGCGUCCACAUCCGCAAGUGCGCCGCGUCAAAAAAGAAAAAAAGUAAGGACAAAUUAUCUUUGCUCCAUUUGUAAGCGGUCCUUGAGGCUGUCAAAAUUGGGGGGGUGCGGAACACACGGAGAUGUGCAGAAAGUCUUUCCUGUAUCUUGCCAAGAGUGCGGGGUGUCAUUUUUGAGCGAGUCGUUAUUACUCUCGCACAUUUAUGGCAAACAUAGGAAGCGAAAAUUGAGUAGUCACGCCGCGGGAAGUUAUAGACACGCCGCAAAGCGAGCGUGACUCGCAGUUGGAGAGGAUGUUGAGCAACACACCCUAAUUGUUUAUUUUAAUUUUAUUAUUAGAAGUAAG
Drosophila busckii is the source of this 705-nucleotide long non-coding RNA. RefSeq lists it as uncharacterized. The transcript is spliced from 3 exons. The record is from RefSeq and is a predicted model, not a curated record. Lineage: Eukaryota; Metazoa; Arthropoda; Insecta; Diptera; Drosophilidae.